RNAcentral lists this ribosomal RNA (611 nucleotides) under Rhizobium leguminosarum bv. trifolii. RNAcentral's name for it is "bacterial SSU rRNA". It matches the Rfam family "Bacterial small subunit ribosomal RNA", at positions 878 to 1476 of the family's 1533-position model. Lineage: Bacteria; Pseudomonadati; Pseudomonadota; Alphaproteobacteria; Hyphomicrobiales; Rhizobiaceae. The record is from RNAcentral.
AGUUCCGGUCGCAAGAUUAAAAACUCAAAGGAAUUGACGGGGGGCCCCCACACAGCGUUGGAGCAUGUGCUUUAAUUCGAAGUAACGCGCAGAUCCUUGCCAGCGCUUGACGUGCUCGGCCACUUGCAGAGAUGCAAGGUUCCUUUGGGGGACGGGGACACAGUUGUUGCAUGGCUGUCGUCAGUUGGUUUCGUGAGAUGUUGGGUUAAGUCCUGCAAGGGGCGCAACCUUCGCCUUUAGUUGCCAGCUUUCAGUGGGGCAUUUUAAGGGGACUCCCGGUGAUAAGCCGAGAGGAAGGGGGGGAGGAUUUAAAGUCUUCAUGCCCUUUACGGGUUGGGCUACACACGUGCUACAAUGGUGGUGACAGUGGGCAGCGAGCACGCGAGUGUGAGCUAAUCUCCAAAACCCAUUUCAGUUCGGAUUGCAGUCUGCAAUUCGAGUGCAUGAAGUUGGAAUCGCUAGUAAUCGCGGAUCAGCAUGCCGCGGUGAAUACGUUCCCGGGCCUUGUACACACCGCCCGUCACACCAUGGGAGUUGGUUUUACCCGAAGGUAGUGCGGCUAACCUGUCAAGGAGGUCAGCUAGACCCUACAGGUUAGGGUCCAGCGGAUU